Callithrix jacchus (white-tufted-ear marmoset) is the source of this 11646-nucleotide non-coding RNA. NCBI's taxonomy places the organism in Eukaryota, Metazoa, Chordata, Mammalia, Primates, Cebidae. The record is from RefSeq and is a predicted model, not a curated record.
GAGUCUAUGAUGCAACGUCACCACCUUGUGGCAGCAAGGAGAGAUCACAACGUGGGCUGAGCACGUUGCUCCCUGCUUGGGGUUGGAAGCUGGGCUGGCCGAAUUCCCUGGGUCUUUUGGAUGGUGUAAGUUUUAAAUGGUGGUGGAUUCCAGGACAGUUCAGUAGGAGCCCAUACUCGAAAGGAAAAUAUCAGAACUUCCUGCUAAUCUGCUACUGGGGUUGAUCAAUUAAUUCAAACAAAUGAGAUGUGAACAUAAUUGCAUUAUGAGUUUGAGGAGGUCAUGCUAUUAAAACGGGACAGUCAACUCCAACGACUAACAUAAUCUCUGGGGGUUUCCAGACUCUCACUUUUCAUUUAAUCCCUAGCCUUAGUGAAAUGCAAGAGUAGGAGUGUCGGCAUUUGGGCGGGGAGGCAGGUGAGGCAGGUGCACAUUUCCUCUUCUCUCCAAUGCCCAUAUUUCUAUUUCUGAAUAAAAUGGACCAUCGUGGAGCUAAGGUAAGGCUAACCAAACUAGCUGAGCCACCUCCUGAAGAGAUCAUUGCUUUUGAUUUUAUUUAAUGAGAUUUCUUUUCCUUCUGCUACCAGCAUCCCCAUUCCUUUGGAAAAAUGCUUCCUUAUAAUAACAUAAAGGUCUUGAGAUUUUUUGCUUUUGUUUUUGGGUAGCAAAAUCUUUAUAACAUGAAAUUUGCCAUUUUCACCAUUUUAAAUGUACAAUUCAGUGGCAUUAAUCACCUUCAGAGUGCUGUGCAACCAUUACAGAUAUUUAUUUUCAAAAGGUUUUCAUCAUCCUAAAUGGAAACACUUGGAUCGGGCACGAUGGCUCAUGCCUGUAAUCCCAGUACUUUGGGAGGCUGAGGUGAGCAGAUAACCUGAGGUCAGGAGUUUGAGACCAGCCUGGCCAACAUGGCAAAACCCCAUCUUUACUAAAGAUACAAAAAUUAGCCAGGUGUGAUGAUAUACACCUGUAAUCCCAGCUACUCGGGAGACUGACACAGGAGAAUCGCUUGAACCCAGGAGACAGAGGCUUCAGUGAGCUGAGAUUGUGCCACUGCACUCCAGCCUGGGUGACAGAGCAAGACCUGUCUCAAACAAAAACAAAAACAAAUAGAAACACUGUGCUCAUUGGAUAAAAAAUUCCCCUUCUCCCCUCCUUCCACUCCCAGUAGCUUCUAAUCUACUUUCUGUCUCCAUGAAUUUGUCUAUUUCAUGUAUUUCAUAUAAGUGGAAUCCUACAAGAUGUGGCCUUUCACUCAGUUUAUUUCCCUCAAAAACCUUGUUGCUGAGUUUUAUCCAUGUUGCAGCAUGUAUCAAAAGUUCAUUCCUUUUCAUGGCCAAAUAACAGAAAAAUGUGUAUACUGCUUGGCCAACUUGGUGAAACCCUGUCUACUAAAAAUACAAAAAUUAGCCAGGCAUGGUGGCAGGCGCCUGUAAUCCCAGCUACUCAGAAGGCUGAGGUGGAAGAGUCACUUGAACCCAGGAGGUGGAAGUUGCAGUGAGCCGAGAUCUUGCCAUUGCACUCCAACCUGAGUGACAAGAACAAGACUUUGUGCCCCACCAAAAAAGAGAAAAGUGUGUGUACCAGGCAUUGUUUAUCCACUCAUCUGUUGUUUGACUAUUGUGAAUAAUAUUGCAAUGAUUAUUGGUGUACAAGUAUCUGUUUCAGUCAAUCCCUGUGUUCAGUACUUUUGGUUAUAUGCUUUAGAGUGGAAUUGUUGGUAUUACAACAAUUCUAUGGUCACUCUCUGUUUAGCUUUUUGAGGAACAGCCAAACUGAUUUCCACAGUGUCUACACCAUUUCGCAGUCCCACCAACAAUGUACACGGGUUCUAAUUUCCCCACAUUCUCACAAACAUUUGUUAUUUUCCUUUUUCCUCCUCUAAAUUAUAGCCAUCUUUGCAAGUGUGAAGUGGCAUCUCAUCAUGCUUUUGAUUUGCAGUUCCCUAAUGACUAAUGACUUUGAGCACCUUCUCAUGGGCUUCCUGGCCAUUUAUAUACCUCCUUGCAGAAAUGUCUAUUCAAGUCCUUUGUUGAGAAUUUAAUUGGGUUGUUUAUUUGUUGUUGAAUUGUAGGUUUUCUAUAUAUAUAUUCUGGAUACUAUCAGAUACAGGAUUUGCAAAUAUUUUCUCCCAUUCUGUCCAUUCAGAAUGGGAGAAAAUUUUAAAUGUACAAUUCAGUGGCAUAUUUAAAUAUACAUUUUAAAUUGUACAUUUAAAAUGUCCUUUGAUAGAAAAGUUUCACUUUUUAAAUUAACUCCAAUUUACCUAUUUUUUUGUUGUUGUUUCUUCCUGGGCUUUUAGUAUCAUAUCUAAGAAGCCCGAUUGCCAAACACAAGAUCAUGAAGAUUUACCCUAUGUUUUCCUUUAAGACUUCUAUGAUUUUAGUUCUUAUAGUUAGGUUGUGAAUUAUUUUUUGCAUGUGGUGUGAAGUAGAGCCCAACUUUAGUCUUGCAUGUGGAAAUCUGUUUCUCCCACAUCAUAAAUUAAAGAAACUGUUAUUUCAUCAUGGAAUGGACUUGGCACUCUUGUCAAAAAUCCUUUGGCCACAGAUGUAUGGAUUUAUUGAGAAGCACUUGUACAUCUCUGGUAGCUUUUAAGAUUCUCCCUUUAUCUUUACAGGCAUAUCUGCCUUAUUCUGCUUCACUUUAGAGUACUUCCACAGAUAUUGUAUUUUUUUUAAAAAAUUGAAGGUCUGUGGCAACUCUGUGUCAAGCAAGUCUAUCUGUAUGUGAUCAAUAUUAUUAUCAAUUAUUAUAUCAUGAUUCCCUAGAAAGGUUACAUCAUCUAUUGACAUCCCUAGCAUGGGCUGGUGACACAUACAACAGAUACUGAUACUCUGUCUGUCACCAAACUGUGUGUGGGUUGAUCAAAGCAAUCUUUGAGUGAGUCUAGUUUCCCCUCUGGUAGGACCUGCCUAGGUGGAGAUAAAAUAUUUUUUUCAACACUUACAUUAAUCUAGAUUUAGAUAUUGUUGCUCUCCUGUAUUUGUGUGUUCCAUAUCCACUGAUUCAACCAACCUCCAAUGGAAUAUAUUUGGAAAAAAAGCAAUAUAACAAUUUUUAAAAAGUCCUACAAAUAAAAAAUACAGUGUAACAACUAUUUAUAUAUCAUUUACAUUGUAUUAGGUACUAUAUGUAAUCUAGAGAUUAUUUACAGUAUAUGGCAGAAUGUACAAAAGUUAUAUGUCAAUAUUAUGCCAUUUUAUAUCAGGGAUUUGAGCAUCUGCGGAUUUUGAUAUUGGUGAGGGGUCCUGGUCCCAGUCCUUCAUGAAUACCCAGGAUUGACUGUAUAUAUUUUUGGAUGUUAAACCACCUUGCAGAACUUAAAAAAAUGUUAUCAAGUAAACAAUCUUCAGGUGAAAUAGUCCAUAUCAGUACCAUCUUUCAAGUAUUAGUUGUUUAUCAGCCAGAUUACUAUGAAGGCUGACAUAACUUUGAUCAGACCAUGUUUCUGAACAACUCAUAUGCCUAAACUGAGCAUUAGUUUCUCAUUCUCAUGCAAUGAUCUGCCUGCCUCAGCCUCCCAAAGUGCUGGGAUUACAGGCGUAAGCCACUGUGCCUGACCAUAAUUUUUCUCUUUUUAGUAGAGACAGGGUUUUGCCAUGUUGGCCAGGCUGGUGAUCUGCCUGCCUCGGCCUCCCAAAUUCCUGGGAUUACAGGUGUUAGCCACCUCAUCUCAUCCACAUUGUUACAUGUAUUAGUAUUUCUUUUUAUUGUCAAAUAAUAUUUCAUUGUAUGGAUAUGACACAAUUUGUUUAUCCAUUCAAUAGCGGAUGCAUAUUUGUUUCCUCUUGACUAAUAUGAAUAAUGUUGCUUUGACCAUAAGUUUUUACAUGAACAUAUGUUUCCAUUUUUCUUGGGUACAUAUAUACCUAGAAGUAAAAUUCUGUCCAAUCAGGUGGUUACUCGUAUGUUCAACCUUUUGAGGGACUGCUAUACUUUUGAGGGACCCUAAAGCGGUCACACCCUUUAUGUUCCCAUCACCAGUGUAUGAGUGUUCCAAUUUUGCCACAUCUUUGCUGACACUUGGUUUUUGUUUCUAUUAUGGCCAUUCCAGUGGAUAGGAAGUAGUAGCUCAGUGUGGUUUUGAUUUGCAUUUUCUGAUGGCUAAUGAUUAUUAGCCUCUUAUCAUUUGCUUUAUCUUUUUUGAAGAAAUGUUUAUUCAGAUAUAUUGCCCAUUUUUAAAUUGUGUUAUUUGUUGUUUUGCUAUUGACUUGUAAGAGUUCUCUGUAUAUUAUUGAUACAAAUCCAUGAUCAGGUAUGUGAUUUGCAAAUAUUUCUCCCCUUCUGUGAGUUGUCUUUUCACUAUUUGGUUGGUAUCCAUUUAAAGCACAAGUCUUUAAUUUUGAUGAAGUCCAGUUUGUUUUUUCUUUUGUUGCUGGUGCUUUUGGUUUUAUAUCUAAGAAGGCUUUGCCUAAUCCCAGGUAAUCAAGUUUUAUGUUUAUAUUUUCUUUAAUGAGUUUUGUAGUUUCAGCUGUGGCAUAUAUGUCUAUGUUCUUAUGUUCUAUCUAUCUUGCAUUAAUAUUAGUGUGAAGGAGUUCAACCAGUUGACAUAAAUAUAGUUUACUUCUGGAUUCUUUUUCUUUUCUUUUUUUUUGAGAUGUACCUUCGCUCUUGUUGCCCAAGCUGGAGUGCAAUGGCACGAUCUUGGCUCACUGCAACCUCCGCCUCCCGAGUUCAAGCGAUUCUCCUGCCCCAGCCUCCUGAGUACCUGGAUUACAGGAGUGCGCCACUACGCCUGGCUACUUUUUGUAUUUCAGACCUUACGUUACAUAAUAGCUCUACCAGUGAAGAGGGCUGUAGCUGUGGUCUCCACCUCCGGCCUGGCGCAGCUCACGUGAUCCAGCUUGUGCAAGACCCAAUUCCAACUCUGUGUUUCUGGCUUUUGGCCACUCAGGAUAGAACCUGGGGACUGGUGCUGGUCGGCCCUGCACGCGGCAGAGUGCCAUCCUUGGUUGUGGAGCUGUUCUUCAGCAGCCUAGCUGGGCUGGGUUCUUACCAGCUGUCUCAGGAUCCAAAGAACGUUUGGCUUUUCCUAGCCGCUACAUCUGGUACCUUGGCUGGUGUUAUGGCAUUGAGAUCCUACUACUAUGGAAAAGUCAUGCCUGUAGGUUUAAUCGCAGGUGCCAGACGGAGUUUUGCUCAUUGCCCAGGCUGUAGUGUAAUAGCGCGAUCUUGGCUCACUGCAACUUCCACCUCCCGGGUUCAAGUGAUUCUCCUCUAUCAGCCUCCUGAGUAGCUAGGUUUACAGCUGGGCUAUUUUGCCUUCCCCACUUCAUUCUUUCCUUGGAGAAGGUCCCUCUACCCAGCUCUUCCACCUGCAGAGACAAGUUCAGCCUUCACAAUUUUAAAGUUUCCAACAACCAUAAAAUUAUGUGCUCCUUCUACUUUAAAAGUUAACUGUAAAAUAGCCUCAGAUGGGUCCUUCAGGAGGGAUUCCAGAAGAAGGCAUUGGUACCGUAGGAUAUGACAGCUCUGUGCAUGUUAUUGCUCCUGCAGACCUUCCAGAGGGAAGAUGUGGAGGUGGAAGGAAGUGAUAUUGAUGAUGCUGACCCUGUGUAGGCCGUGUAGGCCUAGGCUAAUGUAUGUGCUUGUGUCUUAUUAACAACAAAAAAGUUUAAAAAGUAAAAAAUAAAAUAUUAAGAAUAGAAAGAAAACUUAUAGAAGGAAAGAAAUAUAAAUAAGGAAAAAAUGUGUUUGUGUUUUAAGCUGUUAUUACAAGAGUAAAAAUGUUUAAAAAAAAUUCUGCUACAAAGACACAUGCACAUGUAUGUUUUUUUGCAGCACUAUUUACAAUAGUGAAAACUUGGAAACAAGUCAAAUGCCCAUCAGUGAUAGACUAUAUAAAGAAAAUGCGGUGGCUCAAGCCUGUAAUCCCAGCACUUUGGGAGGCUGAGGCAGGUGGAUCACGAGGUGAAGAGAUUGAGACCAUCCUGGUCAACAUGGUGAAACCCCAUCUCUACUAAAAAUACAAAAAAAUUAGCUGGGCAUGGUGGCGCGUGUCUGUAAUCCCAGCUACUCAGGAGGCUGAGGCAGGAGAAUUGCCUGAACCCAGGAGGCGGAGGUUGCAGUGAGCCGAGAUUGCGCCAUUGCACUCUAGCCUGGGUAACAAGAGAGAAACUCUGUCUCAAAAAAAAAAAAAAUAUGGCACACAUACACCACGGAAUACUAUGCAGCCAUAAAAAAGAAUGAGAUCAUGUCCUUUGCAGGGACAUGGAUGAAGCUGGAAACCAUCAUUCUCAGCAAACUAACACAAGAACAGAAAACCAAACACCACAUGUUCUCACUCAUAAGUGGGAGUUGAACAAUGAGAACACAUGGACACAGGGAGGAGGGGGAAACAACACACACCAGGGCCUAUUGGUAGGUGGCAGGCAAGGGGAGGGAUAGCAUUAGGAUGCAUAUCUAAUGCAUGUGAGGCUUAAAACCUAGAUGAGGCCAGUUGUGGGGCUCAUGCCUGUAAUCUCAGCACUUUGGGAAGCUGAGGCAGGUGGAUCAUGAGGUCAGGAGUUUAAGACCCUUUCUCUACUAAAAAUACAAAAUUAGCCAGGCUUGGUGGUGCAUGUCUGUAGUCCCAGCUACUCAGGAGGCUGAAGCAGGAGACUCACUUGAACCCCAAGAGGCAAAGGUUGCAGUGAGCCGAGAUUGUGCCAUUGCACUCCAGCCUGGGCAACAGAGGGAGACUCCGUCUCAAAAAAAAAUCUAGAUGAUGGGUUGAUAGGUGCAACAAAUCACCAGGGCACAUGUAUACCUACGUAACAAACCUGUGCAUUCUGCACAUGUAUCCCGGAACUUAGUAAAAUUUAAACAUACAUAUGUAUUUAUAUAUAAGCUUCUUAAAAUUAAAAAGUUUUAUAAAGUAAAAAUGUUAUAGUAAGCGAAGGUUAAUUUAUUAUUAAAGACAUUUUAAAUAUUUAGUGUAUCCUAAGUGUGCAGUGUUUAUAGAGUCUGUAGUGUACAGUAAGGUCCUGGGCCUUCACAUUCUCUCACCACCCACUCACUCGCCCAGAACAACUUCCAGUCCUGCAAGCUCCAUUCAUGGUACGUGUCCUGUUCUCACUGAACCUUUUCUGCAUCGAGAUAGGUUUAGAUACACAAGUACCAUUAUGUUGUAAUUGCCUGCAGUAUUCAGUACAGCACUGCGAUGUCCAGGUUUGUGGCCUGGGAGCCAUGUUAACCUAAGUGUAUCGUGGGCUCUACCAUCUAGGUUUGUGUAAAUACAAUCUGAUUUCUUCACAAGGACGGUCACCCAAGGACACAUUUCUUAGAACAUAUUCCCAUUGAUAAGUGAUGAACAACUGUGCUUAUACUAAAAAAUUACUCAUUGCUUAUCCAAAAUUCAAAUUUAACUGAGUGGCCUGUAUUUGUGUUUGCUAACUCUGGCAACCCUAUCACCAAGGCAAAUUUCACUGGAAGAAAUUUGAAGCUCUGAAUACAGUUUUUAAUCAAGCAUGUAGACUUUUAUUCACACUUGGAAAUCAACCUUCCAUUAUCCAGAGAGUACACAUGCUGCCUCCAGCUCCUUGUUUCCCCUUGGCCUCUUGGCCCAUUCCAAUCUGCCUCACAGAGCCCCAUCACCCCAUAGAAACAGGUGUCUUUGUGGUCACCAGCGUGUUCCUUGUUGCCACACGCAGUGAACCCUUUUCUGUACUCAUGUUAACAUCUCAGCCACAUUCUGCAAUGCUGACCUCCUUCUCACUUAAGAGAGUUUGGCUCUGGCUUCUGUGACCCCCUUCUCUGUCCUGGUUUUCUACUUAUCUGGCCACUAAUUCUCAUCUCCUCUGUCAGAUCCUUCUCCUCUAACUCCAAAUUGGGAACUCCUCAUGGCUUCAUACAAGGUCCCCCGUCCUCCUCUAUACAACACUGCCCAAUAGAACUCUCUUAUGAGGAUGGAAAUGUCCUCUCUCUGCGCCAUCCAAUGCAGUAGCCACUAGCUACAGAUGGCAACUAAGCACUUGAAAUGUGGCUAGUGUGACUGAGGGAUGGACUUUUAAAUUUUAUUUAAUUAAAAAUUUUUUUUUAUGAAAGCCUUGCUCUGUCACCCAGGCUGGAAUGCAGUGACGCCAUCUUGGCUCACUGCAACCUCUGCCUCCUUGGUUCAAGAGAUCCUCCUUCUUCAACCUUGGGAUAUCUGGGAUUACAGACAUGCACAAUCACACCUGGGUAAUUUUUGUAUUUUUUAUAGAGAAUGAGUUUCACCAUGUCGGCCAGGCAGGUCUUGAACUCCUGACCUCAAGUGAUCUACCCACCUUGGCUUCCCAAAGUGCUGGGAUUACAGACAUGAGCCACUGUGCCUGGCUAACAUUUAUUUAAUUUUAAUCAAUUUAUAUUAGCACAUAUGGCCAGUGGUUACCAUAUUGGACAGUACAGCUCUAGAUUAUCUUACUAGGUGAGCUACUAUUGGCUUUAAAAAGCAGCUUUAUACUUACGAUUUCCUGAUACAUAUCUGUAUCUCUGACCUUCCACAGAGCUCCAGCGUUAUAUGCAUCUGAUAGCUUUGAUGACUCACAAGCAUUAAGGGACCAUAACUGUUCUUUUUUCAGCUGCCAAUACUUCAGAGAGUGGUACCGACAGUUACUCGGUUUGUUGAAGCCAGAAACUGAGAGUAGUUCUUGAUUUUUCCUUAUUCCUUACUAUCCCACACCUAAAUCAUAAGUAAGGUCCACCGAUGCUACCUCCAACUUACAUUUUUUUAUGGGCACCCUAUUUACUUUUAUUACCUGGCAGGAUUUUCAGGAAAAUUGCCCAGAACUGGCAUAUUGAUCCAGGUUUUUACAUUACCCAUUCCUUUUUGUUUCUUCCAAGCUGCAGGAGAUCCCUAGUCGAUUCACGUGAAUAAGCAGGGUUAGUCACAGGUACGGGGGACCAUGUAGACAAGGUAGGAGGCCAGUCAUCCCCAAGGGGCUUUUAUUGGUUCUACAAGUCAAGCCGGAUUCCUUAAAUGGAAGCACAUUCUCCAGUCAAAGCCCUGGUAAAACCAUCAGCUUCUCCAGCUGUGUCUUCAGACUUCUAUUAGUGUAGUUCAUGCAGUUAAGUCCUGUUUGACAUUCAUGAAUGUUUCAGCUCUUCGUGAGUCCUGCAUGUUUUUUCUCUAUUCUAAUGUUGCAAUCUUCAAAGCUAUUAGAAACCCUUCCAAUGGUCCCAUACGGGGCCCCAAAAUGAAGCAGUGUCAUCUCAUACCAAGGGAAUUGAAGACAUGGACGUGCAAGAAGUGAGUUUAAGAGCAGAGGUGUAAUAGGUGGAAGAAAGGGAAAGGAGAAUAGUUCUCUCCCUUGCAGAGACAGAGGGGCUCGUGGGUGGGUCUUCCCCAAAUUACAUUUUGAAUCAGUCUACUUCCUUCGAUCUCCACUGCUACUUUCUAGUCCAAGCCACCAGCAUUUUUGCCUCACAGUCACCUUCCUGCUUUCUAAACCCAGCUUUAAUCCAGUGUCCAUACAGCAUCGGGAUUAUUAUUCUCAAAACAUAAACUGGAUCAUGCCACUUUUUUGCUUAAAAUUCUUCAGUGGUUUGCCACGGCUCUUGGAAUAAAAUCUAGAUGGGCUGUACUGGACUUCAAGGCUCUGAGCCCUGCUUUCCAUUUCAGCCCAUUUCAUGCCAUACUUCUCCUAUUUACACUGUGUUUACACAGUGACAAGUUAACCUCCUGAUAACUUGGCACCCAUAUGCAUCUCCUUAAACCAUACUUAACUUCCAAAUAAAGACUAGGUAGUUCUGCCUAUGACGCGACCAACAUAAUGUAACUAUCCUUCAUACAACUAAAAAUGCACUAGCCCCUUUUCCAGAAUUCAGCUUUCAGGAUUUCAACUUUUGGGAUUGUGUCUUUUGAGAUGUUGAACAUCAGGGAUUUUGAUCUUUCUGGAUUUCAACAUUUGGGAUUAUGGCAUUCAGAAUUGUGUCUUUCAAGAUUUUGAUGGGCAUCACCUAAAAUCAUAGGUUUGAUGUGCUAUUCAUAUCUUUUUCUAUUAUACAUCAAAAUAAGUCAGUGACUGCUGAAAUAUUUAUGGACUGUUUAAACCCACUCUGUACCCCAUGGGACUCUUGCACCACGCUUUGGGAAAUGACUGUCUCAGGGACUCCAGGCUGUCUGCUCACUCCCAUCCUGGGCCCUUCCUCCCCAUCCUGCGCCCUUCCUCCCCAUCCUGCCAGGAUUCCUCAGGUCCCACAUUAGAACACAAACAGAAAUAACAUAGCUCGCUCUGUGCCAAGAGAAACACUUAAGUGUAAAUGCAAUUUAUUGAUAAAGGAGUGCAAUCAAAGCCAAUAUAAACAGCAUUGGCUAAGAACAUGCACUCUGGAGAUGAGCUGGAUUCAAAUCUUGGUCUCCCACUUGCUGUAUAAGUCAUUUCAUCUCCUCAGGUAGCUCAGAGGGCAGCUGUGAAGAUUCCAUCAAUUAAUGUAUAUUCAGGGCUUACAAUGUCUGACACAUGGGAAAUGCUGAUAUGUAUGUGUAUACAUAUACAUUUAAAAUUUUUUUCUUUUUUUUUAAAAAAUGUUCUUUGUUUUUUGAGACCGAGUCUAGCUCUGUUGCCCAGGCUGGAGUGCAGUGGUGCUAUCUCGGCUCACUGUAACCUCUACCUCCUGGGCUUAAGCCAUCCUUCCAUGUCAAUUUUCUGAGUAGCUGGGACUUAUAGGCGUGUGCCACCACAUCCAGCUAAUUUUUGUAUUUUUUUUAGUAGAGAUGGGGUCUUGCCAUGUUGCCCAGGCUGGUCUCUUAACUCCUGGGCUCAAGCAAUCCACCUGCCUCAGCCUCCCAAAGUGCUAGGAUUACAGGUGUGAGCCACUGUGUUUGGCCAGUAAGUGCUAUAUAAAUGUUAGAUAUUAUAGCUUGUGAGCAUUGGCAAUGGAAGUCCAAAGAAAAAAGUAAUCGAUGAGUGUACUAAGCAUCUUUCCCUUUGAAAAAAAUUGGUUUGUUAGAAACUCAUAGGAGUGUACUCACCUACUUAAUCUUUUGGUCAGUACUGCAUGCAUUUGUUAUGUUGGGGUAUUAAACUUUUCUGAAUUAAUUGGACAAUAUAGAAUGCCCAAUGAUUUAAAAUGGGAUCUGACUUACUACAAUUUAGCUACACAAAUUGAUAUUCUAUGCAAAUUGGAGGAUACUUCUAGGCAACCUUCUCAAAAUAUAUUGCUUGUGUAGUUUAUCUUUAUUUGAAAACAGAAUAUUUUCCACUAAAUAUUAGUGAACAUUGGGAGCAGUGCAAAAGUAUGUGUGUGCACACUUCAAAUGUUUUGAAAAGGCUCUUUCUGUUAUGACAGAAUAUAACAGCAGGUAUUUUGCAAAUAAACUACAAAACAGUCAAACUAUUUAAUACUUUUUUUCUUUUUGAGACAGGGUCUUGCUCUGCUGCCCAAGCUGGAGUGCAGGAGCACAAAGAUGGCUGAUGCAGCCUUGACCUCCUGAGUUUAAACCAUCCUCCCACCUCAGCUUCCCAAGUAGCUGGAACUACAGGCACACUGCCAUGCCCCUGGGGUCUCUCUCUGUCACCCAGAGAUGGGGAUUCUCUCUGUUGCCCAGACUGGUCUUGAACUCCUGGACUCAAGCAGUCCUCCUGCCUCAGCCUCCCAGAGUGUUGGGAUUACAGGCAUGAGCCACCUCUCUUGGUGCAUUUAAUAAGUUUUAAUGUUUCAUAACAACUGUUUCCUAGGUCAUAA